Molecule: ribosomal RNA, 301 nt
Filed under: uncultured bacterium
Lineage: Bacteria
Description: partial 16S ribosomal RNA
Rfam family: Bacterial small subunit ribosomal RNA
Source: RNAcentral
CAGCAGCCGCGGUAAUACGAAGGGGGCUAGCGUUGCUCGGAAUGACUGGGCGUAAAGGGCGCGUAGGCGGCGGCCGAAGUCAGGCGUGAAAUUCCCGGGCUCAACCUGGGGGCUGCGUUUGAUACUUGAUUGCUAGAGUGGGGAAGAGGGUCGUGGAAUUCCCAGUGUAGAGGUGAAAUUCGUAGAUAUUGGGAAGAACACCGGUGGCGAAGGCGGCGACCUGGUCCUUGACUGACGCUGAGGCGCGAAAGCGUGGGGAGCAAACAGGAUUAGAGACCCGAGUAGUCCCUGUCUCUUAUAA